Molecule: unclassified non-coding RNA, 336 nt
Filed under: soil metagenome
Description: partial contains 5.8S ribosomal RNA, internal transcribed spacer 2, and large subunit ribosomal RNA
Rfam family: 5.8S ribosomal RNA (bases 1-120)
Source: RNAcentral
GAUGAAGAACGUAGCGAAAUGCGAUAAGUAGUGUGAAUUGCAGAAUUCAGUGAAUCAUCGAAUCUUUGAACGCACAUUGCGCCCCUUGGUAUUCCAUGGGGCAUGCCUGUUCGAGCGUCAUUUGUACCCUCAAGCUUUGCUUGGUGUUGGGUGUUUGUCUCGCCUUUGCGUGUAGACUCGCCUUAAAAUAAUUGGCAGCCGGCGUAUUGAUUUCGGAGCGCAGUACAUCUCGCGCUUUGCACUCAUAACGACAGCGUCCAAAAGUACAUUUUACACUCUUGACCUCGGAUCAGGUAGGGAUACCCGCUGAACUUAAGCAUAUCAAUAAGCGGAGGA